This 358-nucleotide long non-coding RNA is filed under the name Bos taurus (domestic cattle). Its description in RNAcentral is "long non-coding RNA NONBTAT005655". The record is from RNAcentral. Lineage: Eukaryota; Metazoa; Chordata; Mammalia; Artiodactyla; Bovidae.
GAAUGGAGACAAUCUGAACAAAAGUCCAGGAACAGGAAUGCAUGUGGCACAGACGUAGGACCCAAGAGGAAGGCGGUUUUCACUCAUUAAUUUAUUACCAUCUCACAGCAGCCUCAGAAAAGCAGCAGCAGCUGUUUUAUUUCUUAGCGAAGGACCCCUAAAGUUGCGAUGUCUGGCACAAAACUCAGAAGAGACACAUGCGCGCGUGUGCACACAAAGACCAGUGGACUUAAAUGAUGAAGACGGAAUGUUUCCGUAAGGCCAGAGAAACUGAGCAAAGUUAAAACCGAGGACAGAUGGGGAGAAAAUAUUUGUAACACAACUAAUUUUUUUUAAGUUAAUGACACUAUCCUAUAAA